Long non-coding RNA from Sitophilus oryzae (rice weevil), 927 nucleotides. RefSeq lists it as uncharacterized. The record is from RefSeq and is a predicted model, not a curated record. Lineage: Eukaryota; Metazoa; Arthropoda; Insecta; Coleoptera; Curculionidae. The transcript has 2 exons.
UUCCUUGAUUUAGUAAUGAUAUUGCUCAUAGAAAUUGAUAAUAUACUAUUUUAUAUUCACUCGUUCAAGUGCUGAUCUAUUUUUAAAUUGAAUAUUUAUGUAAGUAUUAUGUAUAACACGAUAUAAAUAAUUUAAGGACAUAAGAAAUUAAAAUUUCAAGUGCCAAUAUUGAUUAUUUUUCCAGUUUUAUUCAAAUAUAUUGAAAUUAAUAUGGAAACAAAAGUUCAUAAAUAUUAGUUUGAAAAGCCAUGUCAGAAGAGUAGGAUUAAAGACAAAGUAUUAAGAGUAAUUGGGCUGUUCCUGAACAAUAUUGAAUAUAAAUAUUCAAAAAUAUGAUUGAUAACUGCAUAUCCUACUAAGUAGAUCAAUACCAAAAUCCCAUUAGAGAAAUAAGUUAAAAUUAUGUUUUACUUGUAUAAUUUUCUUGCUAUUUGUCCACCAUUAUUUGUGACUUAGAAAUUAAAUAGUCAAAAAGAAUUUAGUACCAGUUUUUAUUUCCCAAAAAAAUUGUUAAAUAAUUACAUAUUGCUUAAGAUACAGUAUAUUAUAUUGUGUUUAUAGUUGAUAAUUCUAGUUCUUAGUUGUUUAUAGUUGAUAAUUAACAAUAUUUCUGAUGUUAGAUAUUAUAGGUAUUAGAUAAAAAAUUUAAUUACCAAUAGCUAUCUACCUAUGUAGCUGCAGAUUAUAUAUUGUGUAGUAGGUACUGUAUAAUUCUUUAGUUCAAGAAACAAAUAUCAGUACAAGUAUAUAACCAAAAAAAUGUUGAUGCAAAUUCUUUGUAUAACAUACGUACCCCUAUGGUAUUCAACUUUUCAUUGUUCUUUUAAUUAGAUACACAAUAAGCACAUUAAUUCGUUUAUUAAACAACCAAAACUCUAACUACUUAAAUUCACAAUAUAAAUAUCACAAUAAAUGUAUAAGCUUUGA